This 830-nucleotide ribosomal RNA is filed under the name uncultured archaeon. RNAcentral's name for it is "bacterial SSU rRNA". It matches the Rfam family "Archaeal small subunit ribosomal RNA", at positions 23 to 859 of the family's 1478-position model. The record is from RNAcentral.
GCGACUGCUAUUGGGGUUCGACUUAACCAUGCGAGUCGCGCGGACUUCGGUCAGCGGCGCACGGCUCAGUAACACGUGGGUAACCUACUCUCAGGUCGGGAAUAACUCCGGGAAACUGGAGCUAAUACCCGAUAGAUACAGAAUUCUGGAAUGAGUUUGUAUCGAAAGUUCUGGCGCCUGAGAAUGGGCCCGCGGCUGAUUAGGUUGUUGGUGAGGUAACGGCCCACCAAGCCUUCGAUCGGUACGGGCAGUGAGAGCUGGAGCCCGGAGAUGGGGACUGAGACAAGGCCCCAGGCCCUACGGGGCGCAGCAGGUGCGAAAACUCCACAAUGCUCGCAAGAGCGAUGGGGGAACCCCAAGUGCCCUUGUAUUGCAAGGGCUUUUCUCUGGUGUAAGGAGCCAGAGGAAUAAGGGCUGGGUAAGACUGGUGCCAGCCGCCGCGGUAACACCAGCAGCUCGAGUGGUCGCCGUUUUUAUUGGGCCUAAAGCGUCCGUAGCCGGAUGGAUAAGUCUCUAGGUAAAUCUUGCGUCCAAGCGUAAGGCUUCUGGAGAUACUGUCUAUCUUGAGGCCGGGAGAGGUUGGAGGUACUCCCGGGGUAGGGGUAAAAUCCUGUAAUCCUGGGGGGACCACCGGUGGCGAAGGCGUCCAACUGGAACGGCCCUGACGGUGAGGGACGAAACCCAGGGGAGCGAGCCGGAUUAGAUACCCGGGUAGUCCUGGGCGUAAAUUAUGCGGACUAGGUGUGGGGAUAUCCACGAGAUAUCUCUGUGCCGAAGGGAAGCCAUUAAGUCCGCCGCCUGGGGAGUACGGCCGCAAGGCUGAAACUUAA